RNAcentral lists this ribosomal RNA (492 nucleotides) under uncultured bacterium. Its description in RNAcentral is "partial 16S ribosomal RNA". It matches the Rfam family "Bacterial small subunit ribosomal RNA", at positions 29 to 507 of the family's 1533-position model. The record is from RNAcentral.
AGUGAACGCUGGCGGUAUGCCUAACACAUGCAAGUCGAACGGCAGCACAGUAAGAGCUCGCUCUUACGGGUGGCGAGUGGCGGGCGGGUGAGGCAUACAUCGGAAUCUUCUUUUUCGUGGGGGAUAACGUAGGGACACUUACGCUAAUACCGCAUACGAUCUACGGGUUAAAUCAGGAGUGCUUCGCACCUUGCGCGACUGAAUGAGCCGAUGUCGGAUUAGCUAGUUGGCGGGGUAAAGGCCCACCAAGGCGACGAUCCGUAGCAGGUCUGAGAGGAUGAUCAGCCACACUGGAACUGAGACACGGUCCAGACUCCUACGGGAGGCAGCAGUGGGGAAUAUUGGACAAUGGGCGCAAGCCUGAUGCAGCCAUACCGCGUGGGUGAAGAAGGCCUUCGGGUCGUAAAGCCCUUUUAUUGGGAAAGAAAAGCAGCAGGUUAAUACCCCGCUGUUCUGACGGUACCCAAAGAAAAAGCAACGGCUAACUUCGUG